AAACUUUGGUUCCCAUAGCUUUAAAAUGCGGAGGAUCCAAAAAUGGGGUGAAGCAUUACUAUAAGUAGUGCAGGUUACACCUUUUCCUAACCCGUCAGCUAACUUCGCAGGCAAAGGAGGAUUU
Molecule: small RNA, 124 nt
Filed under: Clostridium oryzae
Lineage: Bacteria; Bacillati; Bacillota; Clostridia; Eubacteriales; Clostridiaceae
Description: c-di-AMP sequence
Rfam family: c-di-AMP riboswitch aptamer (ydaO/yuaA leader)
About the family: This family represents a conserved RNA structure found upstream of the ydaO and yuaA genes in Bacillus subtilis and related genes in other bacteria.
Source: Rfam by way of RNAcentral